CCAGACUCCUACGGGAGGCAGCAGUGGGGAAUAUUGGGCAAUGGGCGAAAGCCUGACCCAGCAACGCCGCGUGAAGGAAGAAGGCUUUCGGGUUGUAAACUUCUCUUGGCAGGGAAGAAACAGACGGUACCUGGCUAAGAAGCCCCGGCUAACUACGUGCCAGCAGCCGCGGUAAUACGUAGGGGGCAAGCGUUAUCCGGAUUCACUGGGUGUAAAGGGAGCGUAGACGGCGACGCAAGUCUGGAGUGAAAGCCCGGGGCCCAGCCCCGGGACUGCUCUGGAAACUGCGGCGCUGGAGUACGGGAGGGGCAGGCGGAAUUCCUGGUGUAGCGGUGAAAUGCGUAGAUAUCAGGAGGAACACCGGCGGCGAAGGCGGCCUGCUGGACCGUGACUGACGUUGAGGCUCGAAAGCGUGGGGAGCAAACAGGAUUAGAUACCCCUGUACA
RNAcentral lists this ribosomal RNA (446 nucleotides) under uncultured bacterium. RNAcentral's name for it is "partial 16S ribosomal RNA". It matches the Rfam family "Bacterial small subunit ribosomal RNA", at positions 331 to 794 of the family's 1533-position model. The record is from RNAcentral.